RNAcentral lists this ribosomal RNA (508 nucleotides) under uncultured bacterium. Its description in RNAcentral is "bacterial SSU rRNA". It matches the Rfam family "Bacterial small subunit ribosomal RNA", at positions 30 to 518 of the family's 1533-position model. The record is from RNAcentral.
CGAACGCUGGCGGCGUGCUUAACACAUGCAAGUCGAACGCGAAAGGGACUUCGGUCCUGAGUAAAGUGGCGCACGGGUGAGUAACGCGUAGAUAACCUGUCUUCAUGUCUGGAAUAAUACGCCGAAAGGGGUACUAAUACCGGAUAUUCUUGCUUUUCAUAAGUUAUGCAAGCAAAGGUGGCCUCUGCAUAUGCUACUGCAUGAAGAGGGGUCUGCGUACCAUUAGCUAGUAGGUGGGGUAAUGGCCUACCUAGGCGACGAUGGUUAGCGGGUCUGAGAGGAUGAUCCGCCACACUGGCACUGGAACACGGGCCAGACUCCUACGGGAGGCAGCAGUGAGGAAUAUUGCGCAAUGGGGGAAACCCUGACGCAGCGACGCCGCGUGAGUGAGGAAGGCCUUCGGGUCGUAAAGCUCUGUCAAGAGGAAAGAAGUGUACAAUGGCUAAUACCUGUUGUAUUUGACGGUACCUCUAAAGGAAGCACCGGCUAACUCCGUGCCAGCAGCCGC